UCUAAGCAGACUUCCUAGGUAGCUCUGAAACAGGUGGUCUGUAGACCACACUUUAAGAAUUAUCUUCAAGGAUUGGGCUAGUUUUAGUUUGUAGUGAUUUCUUGUGUCUCUUAAUGAAGGCCUAGACAAUAUAGUCUGGAUUGAUUGGAUAAACACAGAGGAACAAGAGAGCGGCAGAAUUGUACCAUGCAUGCAGCAGGCCAUGCUCUACACGGGCCUCUCAGGAUGCAGCAGAGAGGUACCCUGGACACUGAAACUGGACAUUGUAGAAGAUGAAUUAUGAGAGUGAUUUAUGAAAGAAAGACAGUGGAGAAUUGCAAUCGAUGGAGACAUUCAAAGAAAAGACUUUGGCACUACAUCAAAAGAGAGUAGAAUAAAUGACGAAACUAAAGCACAAAGAGAUUAAAGAACUUAUCCAAGGUCAUGCAGCUGGAAAGAAGUGGAUUUGGGAUUGUGAACAUCACAAUUUCACAAACUACAUUUCAUGAUGGGUAGAGCUAGUCAAACGUCUGAAAAUAAAGUUUGGUUUAAAGAUGACCAUCGUCUUGUUAAGAAAUUAUAUAAAUGAGUAUCACUAAAAAGUCUCUCUUUAAACUCACCAAGCACUCUUCACUAUGGACAAGAAAGUGUGAAUAUGGUUAUUUUUUAUUUAAUAUUUUCAUGAUGAUUAACUGAAGGAUCUGACAGUAAAUAGUCUUUGGGUCUUUUUAAACUAAAACUCCUGUUGUUGUUGAUAGCAAUUGAUGCAAUUGAUAGUAAUGUGCUGUAUCCCUCAGAUGUAUUCCAGCUGAAGAAGGUGGAGAGCCACUAAAAUUUAUUGUUCUAUGUCAUUUUUCCAAAUCAUCUUUUGAUGACUGUCCAUCUACAUAUUGCUCAGUGGCUUUAUAUUUAGAACAUUAUUUGGGAAAUUGUAAUUUCAAAUAUUUUAACCUAUAAAUAUUCAAUGAAGCCUUGGCAAUGAAGAGUAAGACUUUAUAAAACCUUGAAUAUAUGAAUAGCACAGUUCUGGUUAUCUAUGUAACAACAUCCCCCAUAGUAACCUAAAACAAUGACAUUACUAUAUCCCAUGAUUCUGUGGAUUGCCUGGGCUUAGGUGGUAAGUUCUCAGGGUGUUGCUCAUUGUCACACCCAGAUAGCAGCUAGAACUAGAGUCAUCUGCAAACUCCUUUUUCUUGUGUGGACCAUCCAAGGUAGGUUUCUCAUGCACAUAUCUAGUGCUUUGGUGCUUCUUGGCCUCUCUCUUUCCACAUUGUAUCUCAUCUUCCUGGCCUCUCCACAUGGCUUGGGCUUCUUGUUGCAUGGUGUUACGAGGUACUCACACUGCUAACACAGUAGCUGACUUUCAAGAUACACAAAUUGGACCCUUUUAGACCAAUUAAGGGCUAUGGUGAAACUGGAGCAGUAUCACUCUCAUUGUAUUCUAUUGGCCAAAGUAGCAGAGGGCCUGAUCAGACCCAAAGAGGUAGAGAAAUAGAUUCUACUUCUCAAUGGGGGAGUACCAAGUUCAUAUUGCACAAGGGGAUGUAGAAUGGGAACUAUUGUUGUUAUCAUUAGGUAAUACAGUCUGCCUAAAGUACUAUAUCACCUAAUUAGACUUGCUUUGCACAUGAUGACCAGGAGGAAACAAGAUACUGUUUUGGAAUGUACUCACUAAGCAGCUGCCUAGAUGCUGCUUACCUAACAAGUGCCUUGUUUCCACUCAAGGUCAUGGAUCUUUGGGAGUCUAAUAAGAGUGAUGAAAAAUUAUUCAUAGGUCUCCUUCCUUUACUAUACAAUCCUCGCUGCUAAGAGAAAGAUGGGCAAAGGACCUGGGAUGGAUAUCUUUGUGAAUCUAUCAAUAAUGGAUAAAAUAUCUCAUUUGUCUGCUUUCCUUAUUAUCUAAUUCUUCCCUCUUAGAGGAGUCUGAGCAAAGGAGCCUAGACUGGGUGUAUGGUGGAGAGUCAGUAACUAGGAGUAGAAUCUAAAUCAAAUCAAUAGUGUCCUAGUUAACCAAAUCAAAGAGUAAAUGUACAGAAACACAGGAAACCAUGCAGGGUAAUCAAGACUAAAAUUCUGGGUUAUAAGGAACAGCCUAAAACAAUUCUGAGUUGCAAAAUAAAUGGCACCAAUAAUCUUAUACUAAAUUUCAGAAUGUUAGGAUAGGCCUUAUUCUGCUUAAGAUCAGAAUUGGUUCAAGAUACUGGGUUGGAGUUGAACUAGAAGGUUGUAGGUUGGUAGCCCCAGCUAGAAGGAGAGGCCUAGGAGGAUGCCAAGGAGUAAUUGGUAAGUUGCAAAUGUUGAGUUCCUACCAUGGACUUCUGCAGCAAUUGGUGACUGAUUUGUUAGAUGUUGCAGAGAGACUCAAAACAACUAUCAAUCAUCCUGUUAAUUAAAAAUAUUCAUUGGAUUU
Molecule: long non-coding RNA, 2389 nt
Filed under: Homo sapiens (human)
Lineage: Eukaryota; Metazoa; Chordata; Mammalia; Primates; Hominidae
Description: HSALNT0376652
Source: RNAcentral